Molecule: non-coding RNA, 381 nt
Organism: Euleptes europaea (tarantolino)
Lineage: Eukaryota; Metazoa; Chordata; Lepidosauria; Squamata; Sphaerodactylidae
Source: the annotation of a RefSeq genome assembly
AUGUUCUGGCCUCCAAUUCUCAUCCUUCUAGUGUUGUGGUGCACAGGUUCGGAUGCUCAGCCUGUGCUCACUCAGCCCUCAUCGGCAUCGGUGUCACUAGGAAGCACAGUGAAGCUCUCCUGUGUCAUGAGCACCGGGUUCAGCAUCAGUGGCUACUACACGUACUGGUACCAGCAGAAGCCUGGGAACCCCCCAAGAUACCUCUUAUAUUAUUAUUCAGAUUCCAGCAAGGGCCAGGCGUCUGGACUCCCCUCUCGUUUCUCUGGGUCCAAAGACACAUCAGGAAACACUGGCUAUUUAACCAUCGCGGGAGCCCUGGCAGAAGACGAGGCUGAUUAUUACUGUGCUACAGCUCAUGGUAGUGGUAGCAGCUUUGUGUAA